UCGAGAAUCUUCCGCAAUGGGCGAAAGCCUGACGGAGCGACGCCGCGUGGAGGACGAAGGCCUUCGGGUUGUAAACUCCUGUCACGGAUUAAGAAUGUCGUGCGGUGAAUAGUCGUACGAUUGACGUAAGUCCGAGAGGAAGCACUGGCUAACUCUGUGCCAGCAGCCGCGGUAAUACAGAGAGUGCAAACGUUGUUCGGAAUUACUGGGCUUAAAGCGCACGUAGGCGGCGCCGCAAGUGUGGGGUGAAAGCCCACGGCUUACCCGUGGAAUUGCCUGGCAGACUGCGGUGCUAGAGUGUGGUAGGGGAGAGCGGAACUCCUGGUGGAGCGGUGAAAUGCGUAGAUAUCAGGAGGAACACCGGUGGCGAAGGCGGCUCUCUGGUCCACAACUGACGCUGAGGUGCGAAAGCUAGGGGAGCAAACGGGAUUAGAUACCCUCGUAGUCCCUGAGCGGGCUGGCAAGGCGCAU
RNAcentral lists this ribosomal RNA (471 nucleotides) under uncultured bacterium. RNAcentral's name for it is "bacterial SSU rRNA". It matches the Rfam family "Bacterial small subunit ribosomal RNA", at positions 355 to 825 of the family's 1533-position model. The record is from RNAcentral.